This is a long non-coding RNA of Herpailurus yagouaroundi (jaguarundi), 666 nucleotides long. RefSeq lists it as uncharacterized. NCBI's taxonomy places the organism in Eukaryota, Metazoa, Chordata, Mammalia, Carnivora, Felidae. The record is from RefSeq and is a predicted model, not a curated record. The transcript is spliced from 4 exons.
GCCAAGUGUCCUUCACCUUGGGCUCAGGAAGUGGCUUUCCAGCUGGCUCAGAAUUGGAUCCGAACCAACUUUGAGGUCUACUCCAGAAAGCCAGCCAUGUAUGAGAAGUAUGACAUCAGCAACGGUGGUCAGCCAGGUGGUGGAGGGGAGUAUGAAGUUCAGUUGAAGACCUUAAUAGAAAAACACUGACCUCCCCAAAAGAAGAGGGAAUUCUGCCUAGAGACUGCCUUUAGACUUCUCUGGGCCUCCAGCCUAAGGAUCUAACUUGCAGCCUUUGGACUUGCCAGUCUCCAUAGUCACGCCCAAGCCAUCGAUCCACACGUGGGACGGAACCUUGAGCCAUUCUGUUUGAGAUGUUAAAGGAAAAGGUAACUCUCUGCCGUGGUGAUCUUGGAGCCACCAGAGCGAUUGGCAUCUGGGUCACAGAUGUGGGACCAACUUGUGCCCCAGACACCGGGGCACCCCAGUCACCCACCACCACCCCACCACAUGAGGGAAGGGCUUGAGCAGGUGGCACCCGCUGAGACUAAGAAACGAAGAGGAAAAGUCCACAGUGGGGAGCAGGGGUCGGCUUCUGCAAGCUGAGCCGGGACAGCAAGGCCACGCAGACCUGACAUACAGCGCCCAGGUGGCCACGCCUCAGUUGUGGACUUUGGCAGCCCUGGU